GCGGGUGGAAAGCCGGCCAAGUGGCCAGACUCCCCCUUGCCAGGGGCCUGUGCAGGGCAGCCCUCAGGGGGACACUUGUUGCCCGCGGCUGACAGAUCCUCUGCGGGUUUGGCUGUCAUGCCCGGGCUCACUGAGGCUUUGAAAUAACAGCAGCGUGUAAUGAGGAUCCAUCCAGUCCACGGCAAUUGGUCAGCGCACACUGUCACGGCGGUGUAAAACUACACCGAGAGACGAGGCAGCUGUGGAGCGAGCCACACCAUUUGACCCCAAACAUGUCACAUGUGUGUAAGCCAGCUGAUGGGACUUCUCACGGGGCCUGAUAUCUCUACUAGUGACGAGUGAGGAACGGUGGUCAGAUGACAGUCAUCUGUGCUGAGGAAGGAGAAUCAAGAAGGUGAAUGUCCUGAGUGAAUCAACUACGGCUGUCCUCGACCAAAGAAAUCAUUACUUGAUGAUACUGCAAUGUAUAUAUAAGGCAAGGCACAAUGAGUUCAGAGACCAAUUCUCUGGGUCUUCUCUCCAUGCUGCAUGAAGUAAAGAGAUUUGAUUCAUUA
This is a long non-coding RNA of Sebastes umbrosus (honeycomb rockfish), 554 nucleotides long. RefSeq lists it as uncharacterized. The record is from RefSeq and is a predicted model, not a curated record. The transcript has 2 exons. NCBI's taxonomy places the organism in Eukaryota, Metazoa, Chordata, Actinopteri, Perciformes, Sebastidae.